Long non-coding RNA from Oxyura jamaicensis (ruddy duck), 80 nucleotides. RefSeq lists it as uncharacterized. The record is from RefSeq and is a predicted model, not a curated record. Lineage: Eukaryota; Metazoa; Chordata; Aves; Anseriformes; Anatidae. The transcript has 3 exons.
UUCGCUGGGCGGCGGCGUGCGCGGGGCCCGGCGCCAUGGGCCCGGUGCUGAAGCUCAGCAGCGAGGUUGUGAAGAUCAGA